Molecule: ribosomal RNA, 301 nt
Filed under: uncultured bacterium
Lineage: Bacteria
Description: partial 16S ribosomal RNA
Rfam family: Bacterial small subunit ribosomal RNA
Source: RNAcentral
CAGUCGCCGCGGUAAUAUGUAGCUGGCAAGCGUUGUCCGGAAUUAUUGGGCGUAAAGGGCUCGCAGGCGGUUUCUUAAGUCUGAUGUGAAAGCCCCCGGCUCAACCGGGGAGGGUCAUUGGAAACUGGGAAACUUGAGUGCAGAAGAGGAGAGUGGAAUUCCACGUGUAGCGGUGAAAUGCGUAGAGAUGUGGAGGAACACCAGUGGCGAAGGCGACUCUCUGGUCUGUAACUGACGCUGAGGAGCGAAAGCGUGGGGAGCGAACAGGAUUAGAUACCCGCGUAGUCCCUGUCUCUUAUAC